Molecule: long non-coding RNA, 451 nt
Organism: Cercocebus atys (sooty mangabey)
Lineage: Eukaryota; Metazoa; Chordata; Mammalia; Primates; Cercopithecidae
Exons: 3
Source: RefSeq, a predicted model, not a curated record
UGCAUUUAUAAGGCUGGACAGGAGUUUGAGGGGCUACCUUGGGAAAAGGAACUGAACAUGUGUGGAGCAGCUACCAUGAGUUGGACUCUUUCACCCACUCUCUGGGCGAACUCCCAGCCCUCAAGUCUUUGGACUUGGAGAAUCUGUAGCUAGGAAGAAACACAAUCACAGUCCAACCCAUUCUUCGGUUAUAUUCAAGAGGCCAAGCGAGAUUCAACUGUUCUAGAAGAAUUUCUCCAACAUUUCAAGUUGUCUUUUGAUCUGUCACUGUCUCCCGUCACCCCCAGAUGGGACCAUCUAGUUGCAGGAAAACAAGCUCAGGGCUCCCACCUAUUCUACAUUAUGAGUGAUUAUGUUGGUAAUGUGAAGCCUGAAGAUGGAAACAGACUCAAUUCUUGAGUUACUACUCAGAAGAGAGCUUCCCUGGAGAACGCUCCGACAAGCAACACGG